Molecule: ribosomal RNA, 488 nt
Filed under: Salmonella enterica subsp. enterica serovar Infantis
Lineage: Bacteria; Pseudomonadati; Pseudomonadota; Gammaproteobacteria; Enterobacterales; Enterobacteriaceae
Also listed under: 6 other names
Description: partial 23S ribosomal RNA
Rfam family: Bacterial large subunit ribosomal RNA
Source: RNAcentral
AAUCCAUAGGUUAAUGAGGCGAACCGGGGGAACUGAAACAUCUAAGUACCCCGAGGAAAAGAAAUCAACCGAGAUUCCCCCAGUAGCGGCGAGCGAACGGGGAGGAGCCCAGAGCCUGAAUCAGCAUGUGUGUUAGUGGAAGCGUCUGGAAAGGCGCGCGAUACAGGGUGACAGCCCCGUACACAAAAGCGCAUGUGCUGUGAGCUCGAUGAGUAGGGCGGGACACGUGGUAUCCUGUCUGAAUAUGGGGGGACCAUCCUCCAAGGCUAAAUACUCCUGACUGACCGAUAGUGAACCAGUACCGUGAGGGAAAGGCGAAAAGAACCCCGGCGAGGGGAGUGAAAAAGAACCUGAAACCGUGUACGUACAAGCAGUGGGAGCACAGGUUUACCUGUGUGACUGCGUACCUUUUGUAUAAUGGGUCAGCGACUUAUAUUCUGUAGCAAGGUUAACCGAAUAGGGGAGCCGGAGGGAAACCGAGUCUUAAC